This 79-nucleotide non-coding RNA is filed under the name pig gut metagenome. RNAcentral's name for it is "Cyclic di-GMP-I riboswitch". It matches the Rfam family "c-di-GMP-I riboswitch aptamer". Rfam says of the family: GEMM was predicted in a large-scale screen for bacterial structured RNA regulatory elements. Genes associated with GEMM are involved in a diverse array of functions, including chemotaxis regulation, signal transduction, secretion and chitin. The record is from RNAcentral.
AACAAAGGCAAACCUGCUGAAAAGCAGGGACGCAAAGCCAAGGGUCUAAGGUCUGAAGACUAUGACAGCCGGUUGCCAC